Molecule: long non-coding RNA, 666 nt
Filed under: Homo sapiens (human)
Lineage: Eukaryota; Metazoa; Chordata; Mammalia; Primates; Hominidae
Description: HSALNT0156064
Source: RNAcentral
GGCCUAGUGCUGUUAGAGGCUGUAUUCUAGGAAAGCCUAUGACGGUUUGGGAAACUGGGCCAUGCUGAGUGCCUGUAGACAGCGUUCCCGGAAGAGGAAAAAGCAACCUUUGUCUUUAUGUGGGAAUCUCUAAGCAAUAUUUUUGGCUUUGUUUACAUUUGAAGGUUAGAUAUGUGUCAAUCCACGUGAUUGACAUUGAACAUGGAAAAUGAGAAUGAAAGUUUUGUCUGGAAGAUUUAUUUAGGAGGUUUGGAGACAGUUCUUGCACUACAGAAAGGUGGGCUGGAAAUAGGUACCAAUUUGCCUUAAAACGUUUCUUUUAAAAUACCUGGCUUUUAAGGAGUUCAGACUGAGAUGCCAAGAUCUGAAGUCUGUGCUUGAUUACUGAGCAGGGACAGGAAGUGCUCGGUGACUGGGGAGGCGGGGCUCAGGCGAGUGCGCAGAGCCAGGGAACCCGUCUGGAUGGUGGCUCUUUCCCACCAUCCUUCUCUGGCAGCAGCAGUUCAAAGUGGAGCUUCCAGGCUGUCCCAUACAUUUCACGAUUUCUGAGUCUUUCGCUUCAAUUUAAAAAAAGCUGGGGGCACGACCGAAUCCUGCCUCUGUCCACCGCCAUCUCGUUCCUCAUCGCAGGGGGCCCUUCUUGCUCCCUCCACUGCUGCGCUCUGC